Molecule: non-coding RNA, 21 nt
Filed under: Caenorhabditis elegans
Lineage: Eukaryota; Metazoa; Nematoda; Chromadorea; Rhabditida; Rhabditidae
Source: RNAcentral
UGUUUUUCUUUCUGAUAAAUU